CCAACAAAAGGAACUGGCGAGGA
This 23-nucleotide non-coding RNA is filed under the name Cricetulus griseus (Chinese hamster). Lineage: Eukaryota; Metazoa; Chordata; Mammalia; Rodentia; Cricetidae. The record is from RNAcentral.